This 1440-nucleotide long non-coding RNA is filed under the name Equus asinus (donkey). Its description in RNAcentral is "lncRNA (ENSEASG00005024889.1)". The record is from RNAcentral. Lineage: Eukaryota; Metazoa; Chordata; Mammalia; Perissodactyla; Equidae.
AGGUGAUAAAAAAACCAACCUAAUUUGAGAAGUCAUUUAUUUAACCCAGGAAAAGCAAAUGGGAGACAAGCUAAACAAAAAGGAAGGCAAAGAAACUUAUUCAAAGGACUUAAUAUUGACAAGGAACAUUUGGGAAAAAAGAAUACUGAGGAAUCAGUGUGAAGUUGAUCAGUACACGCUGCUUGUCAUUUAUUCUACAAAUACAAUAUUUACUAAAAGCUCUUGCAUUUUCAGGACAGAGCAACAGACCCCAAGCAUUGAGGAUCAAAGGGGCAAUAAUCAAAGGAAGGUUGAGCAAUCCUACGCUGGAUAAACCUUGAGACAGGCAACGUUUGCAUUUAGUAUUUCCCACCUUCCCUCUGUAGCCCUCCCGAUGCUGUCCUGCUCCCUCCCAGUCUCCUCACCCGGUCUGGUCCUAGAUCAAAAGUGCCCACCUGCACUCACGCCUAAUAAAUGCCUACUUUCUGGAUUCCCAAGAUCACACCAGGUGUUAGGAAAGUGACCCACUGACUGACUUUCCCUGAGCUAGCUAUACUUUCCCAAGAGGAAAAAAGACCUUUUAAUAAGUAGAUUUCAAGCAACAUAAACAGGAAAAUGCUGAAGAUCAUACUGGAGGGGGGGGAUAAUUCAACGUUUUUGUUUCUGAAGCCCUGAAUCACUGGCCUGAAGACUGAACGGUACUAGCUACCAAUUUGUCAAUGUGGACAAUUUCUCAUCUACGCAUAAAGGACUACCCUAGUGAACAACUCCUUUUAAAACAAAGCUCCUUUAUAACAGACAUCUUUUUAUUUUAUUUUUUGAAAAUCAUUUAAGCAAUUCUGGCUUAAUUCAUAGCUCAAAAUAACAUUCCAGCUAAAGAGUACACAUUCAACUAAGCAAAAAUAUCACCGUGUACAACUUAUAUUUGUCCAUGAAAAAAGUGGAGUACAGACCACUGACAAAAGACUUAUGGUAUCCAUCAAUAUUCUUCACUACUUAUGACCCCUGUCUAUACAGAUCAUGCUGUCUAACUGGAACAACAGGACUCCUCACUGUCUCCAUAAACACGGCCCACACAGACAGGAGGAUAAACUCUAUCUGGUUCUUAAGAGGAGAGGGGAAAGGAGAUCAGAGAGGAUGUCCUCACAGUUCUCCUCCUUAUCUUCGGUAAGCUCCUUAGUCUUGUGACACUAGGCUGCCUGAAACUAGUUUGGAGGGGCUGGGAAAUACAGCACGCAUGGCAAGGACCUGCAGGGCCAGCUCGGCCUCCUGGUCCCUCCCCACAUCCAAAUCUCAAACAGAAAUGGUCUCUCCUUUCCCCUAACCUUAACCCCUUCUUAUGCCUUUCUAUGCAUAUUUUCUUUUCUUCAACAUACGGCAUCCUUUUAAUUCAUAUUUCAAUUACGUUACUCAGGUCUGACAUGCCAGAAAAUGACCCUAUGCCUCUUAAAUAAUUUCUGC